RNAcentral lists this ribosomal RNA (586 nucleotides) under uncultured bacterium. Its description in RNAcentral is "partial 16S ribosomal RNA". It matches the Rfam family "Bacterial small subunit ribosomal RNA", at positions 355 to 936 of the family's 1533-position model. The record is from RNAcentral.
UGGGGAAUUUUGGACAAUGGGGGAAACCCUGAUCCAGCCAUCCCGCGUGUGCGAUGAAGGCCUUCGGGUUGUAAAGCACUUUUGGCAGGAAAGAAACGUCGCGGGUUAAUACCCCGCGAAACUGACGGUACCUGCAGAAUAAGCACCGGCUAACUACGUGCCAGCAGCCGCGGUAAUACGUAGGGUGCAAGCGUUAAUCGGAAUUACUGGGCGUAAAGCGUGCGCAGGCGGUUCGGGAAGAAAGAUGUGAAAUCCCAGAGCUUGACUUUGGAACUGCAUUUUUAACUACCGGGCUAGAGUGUGUCAGAGGGAGGUGGAAUUCCGCGUGUAGCAGUGAAAUGCGUAGAUAUGCGGAGGAACACCGAUGGCGAAGGCAGCCUCCUGGGAUAACACUGACGCUCAUGCACGAAAGCGUGGGGAGCAAACAGGAUUAGAUACCCUGGUAGUCCACGCCCUAAACGAUGUCAACUAGCUGUUGGGGGCCCUUCGGGCCUUGGUAGCGCAGCUAACGCGUGAAGUUGACCGCCUGGGGAGUACGGUCGCAAGAUUAAAACUCAAAUGAAUUGACGGGGGUCAUAGCUGUUUU